ACAUGCAGAGAACUUUCCAGAGAUGGAUUGGUGCCUUCGGGAACUCUGACACAGGUGCUGCGUGGCUGUCGUCAGCUCGUGUCGUGAGAUGUUGGGUUAAGUCCGUAACGAGCGCAACCCUUGUCCUUAGUUACCAGCACGUUAUGGUGGGCACUCUAAGGAGACUGCCGGUGACAAACCGGAGGAAGGUGGGGAUGACGUCAAGUCAUCAUGGCCCUUACGGCCUGGGCUACACACGUGCUACAAUGGUCGGUACAAAGGGUUGCCAAGCCGCGAGGUGGAGCUAAUCCCAUAAAACCGAUCGUAGUCCGGAUCGCAGUCUGCAACUCGACUGCGUGAAGUCGGAAUCGCUAGUAAUCGUGAAUCAGAAUGUCACGGUGAAUACGUUCCCGGGCCUU
RNAcentral lists this ribosomal RNA (398 nucleotides) under uncultured Pseudomonas sp. Its description in RNAcentral is "bacterial SSU rRNA". It matches the Rfam family "Bacterial small subunit ribosomal RNA", at positions 984 to 1382 of the family's 1533-position model. The record is from RNAcentral. Lineage: Bacteria; Pseudomonadati; Pseudomonadota; Gammaproteobacteria; Pseudomonadales; Pseudomonadaceae.